RNAcentral lists this ribosomal RNA (305 nucleotides) under uncultured bacterium. Its description in RNAcentral is "bacterial SSU rRNA". It matches the Rfam family "Bacterial small subunit ribosomal RNA", at positions 334 to 637 of the family's 1533-position model. The record is from RNAcentral.
ACUUCCUACGGGAGGCAGCAGUGAGGAAUAUUGGUCAAUGGCCGAGAGGCUGAACCAGCCAAGUCGCGUGAGGGAAGACGGCCCUACGGGUUGUAAACCUCUUUUGUCGGGGAGCAAAGAGAGUCACGUGUGACUCAUUGAGAGUACCCGAAGAAAAAGCAUCGGCUAACUCCGUGCCAGCAGCCGCGGUAAUACGGAGGAUGCGAGCGUUAUCCGGAUUUAUUGGGUUUAAAGGGUGCGCAGGCGGAGGUGCAAGUCAGCGGUCAAAUUGCGGGGCUCAACCCCGGCCUGCCGUCGGAACUGGG